ACAACACAUUAGUUGAAUCAAUCAAAGUAUGAUCAUCAAGCUUACACAAUACUUUCAUCUAUCAGAUUUUUGGAAAAGAUGGCAGGUACCGUAAAGUUUUUCAAGAUAAGUCAAGGGGGGGAAUUCGUAUUUACAUGUACUUGUUUGGAUCCUGAAAAUCAGAAUUGGAGGCCAACCAAUGGUGAGGAAACAGAGGGGAAAAAAACGCACCCCAUUUCUAAUAGUUGAGGAAGGACCUUCUGAAGAUAGUGAGCAGGACUAGACCAAGCUUUAACUCUAAGAUUGACAAUGUUACUUAUGUUAUUAUUGAACCUCUGAAGUAUGUCACUUGGGAGCUCUCUUACCACAUGCACACGAUUUCCAAGUGUUUCUAUGAAGAAAUCUUCAUCAAAAAUGUCACCAAAGUUGCUGCCAGACAUCAAAAGAAAAAUAUCAACACAUAAACAAGUUCAGAAGUAUUCAUAUGGACUAGAAAAUAACUGCCAUUAACUUGGAUUACAUAACAUGAUAAACAAAAUAUCUAUGAGAACUUUUAUGUAAUUAUUUAUAGAAUUAAAAUCUACGUAAACGUGUUCCAGAUAUGUGGCACAUAACUGAGAUUGCAGUAUUGCACUUUAGAUGUGUUAAUUAUGCACAGCCAGGGAUUGAUUUUCUCUUUUCUUCUUUUUUAGUAAGAAAAACAAAUCGUCAAGAAGAAGAUAGUAGACAUAUAAUGACACAAGGUGUAAAAUCAUCCAAUCAAAAAGUGUUUCUUUAAAUGCUGUAGGAUAUCCCUUGGUGACCAAUGUGUUAAGACUUUCAAUUCAACAUUUGUGGUAGAAGCUUUGCAUAUGUAGUAAUAUUGUAAUAAGUUUACAUAACGUCCAAAGUUAAGAAUAUUAAAAUGGAUUGCCUUAAGAAUGAAUGGUACGACAACUCAUUUCGGUACAAGAAGUUUGUCUACUUAUACAAUUUUCUACAUGACCAAGGUCAAUUAAUUAUUUCAUCUUAAGUAUGUGUUUUAAUGGUUUUCACAGUUACUUUUAUAUGGGAAGAGUACACCAAUUUAUAGAUAGAUAUGAAAUACAGGGAACGAAGGUCAAGGAUGCUCUAACUAAUACUUAGUCUCAUAAAGGAUUCAGAUGUGAAAGAUUUUCCAUUACUAAAGGUUGGUUUUGUUUGGAUAGUUCCUUCCAAGGCAAACAUUUUUCAAUCCUCAAAUUUGAAGUCCAUGUCAAUGAUUUUAUUUAAAGGGCAAUCAAAGAACAAGAUGAUCUUCCAUCUACCCUAUGUCACCAGUAUUAUUUGCAAGUUAAAGGUAGACAUAUAGGAAGCAGAAUGAGAAAACAUGGAAAAUUAUCAAACUAGAUUCGCGGACGCUAGAAACGAAGCUCCCCAAUUCUUGGUCGCCGCCAGUUAAUUGGCCCAUUUCGCGGCCGGUGGGCUAGACAUGCCCCACUUCGUCCCCUCCAUUUCGCGGGCGCGCCGAGGGUGAGUUGAGGGGCAACUCCAUUUCAUGGGCGACGCCCUUGAGUUGGCGAGACAAAAUUCUAAUCCGUGCGUAUUCCUGGAAUUAAUGUUUUUUAAAUAUAAUUAUAUAAAAAAGUCUCAAUUCUACUAACAUGAGAAUAAAUUUAUAAUAUCUUUAAAAUAUUUUCAAAUAUUUUUAAAUGAAGUUAAAAACUAUAUACUUUCAAGGUCCUAAAAUCUCAAAAGAUCAAUAAAUUUUUCCCCUUGUUUAACAAGUAAGAUGAUAUUUAAGUGGGAGAUAAAUAAUUUCUUCUUGACAUAGACAAUAUUGAAAUCAAAGGUUGAAUGACUGAGGCAUAUUCUAGAUUAAAGUAAAAGGACACCAAAACAUCAAGAUGAAUAUGCAACAACAGAAAAAUAGACUAAGAAUCCUUUUGAUUUUUGUAGAUAACUAAAGCAUGGUUCAUAAUAACUUAAAACUUUCCCCAAUCCCCAA
Arachis ipaensis is the source of this 1945-nucleotide non-coding RNA. The record is from RefSeq and is a predicted model, not a curated record. NCBI's taxonomy places the organism in Eukaryota, Viridiplantae, Streptophyta, Magnoliopsida, Fabales, Fabaceae.